RNAcentral lists this non-coding RNA (21 nucleotides) under Caenorhabditis elegans. Lineage: Eukaryota; Metazoa; Nematoda; Chromadorea; Rhabditida; Rhabditidae. The record is from RNAcentral.
UGACUCAUCGAAUUGCAUAAU